Molecule: ribosomal RNA, 467 nt
Filed under: uncultured bacterium
Lineage: Bacteria
Description: partial 16S ribosomal RNA
Rfam family: Bacterial small subunit ribosomal RNA
Source: RNAcentral
ACGAACGCUGGCGGCGUGCUUAACACAUGCAAGUCGAACGGAAAGGCCCUGCUUUUGUGGGGUGCUCGAGUGGCGAACGGGUGAGUAACACGUGAGUAACCUGCCCUUGACUUUGGGAUAACUUCAGGAAACUGGGGCUAAUACCGGAUAGGAGCUCCUGCUGCAUGGUGGGGGUUGGAAAGUUUCGGCGGUUGGGGAUGGACUCGCGGCUUAUCAGCUUGUUGGUGGGGUAGUGGCUUACCAAGGCUUUGACGGGUAGCCGGCCUGAGAGGGUGACCGGCCACAUUGGGACUGAGAUACGGCCCAGACUCCUACGGGAGGCAGCAGUGGGGAAUAUUGCACAAUGGGCUGAAGCCUGAUGCAGCAACGCCGCGUGCGGGAUGACGGCCUUCGGGUUGUAAACCGCUUUCGCCUGUGACGAAGCGUGAGUGACGGUAAUGGGUAAAGAAGCACCGGCUAACUACGUG